UGUAGCAAUACCGCACUGAUCCGGGUAUGGUCCGACACCUCUUGAAGGUUAAUAUAGGAUCUCCAUACUCUACUCCGACUCAAUACGUCCAUGGCGUACAUAACGGUAACAUAUCUCUCCAAUAAUCUGAGCUUGGGUACACGAGGAAACCCAAACCCUUGGGAGGAUGGGUUAUACGGCUAAAUUAGGCGAG
Non-coding RNA from Anopheles merus, 193 nucleotides. The record is from Rfam. Lineage: Eukaryota; Metazoa; Arthropoda; Insecta; Diptera; Culicidae.